This 527-nucleotide ribosomal RNA is filed under the name uncultured bacterium. Its description in RNAcentral is "bacterial SSU rRNA". It matches the Rfam family "Bacterial small subunit ribosomal RNA", at positions 36 to 595 of the family's 1533-position model. The record is from RNAcentral.
CUGGCGGCGUGCCUAACACAUGCAAGUCGAACGAGAAAGUGGAGCAAUCCAUGAGUAAAGUGGCGACCGGGUGAGUAACACGUGACUAACCUACCUCCGAGUGGGGAAUAACUCCGGGAAACCGGGGCUAAUACCGCAUAACAUCGCAAGAUCAAAGCAGCAAUGCGCUUGGAGAGGGGGUCGCGGCUGAUUAGCUCGUUGGCGGGGUAACGGCCCACCAAGGCGAAGAUCGGUAUCCGGCCUGAGAGGGCGCACGGACACACUGGAACUGAAACACGGUCCAGACUCCUACGGGAGGCAGCAGUGGGGAAUUUUGCGCAAUGGGGGAAACCCUGACGCAGCAACGCCGCGUGGAGGAUGAAGCCCUUUGGGGCGUAAACUCCUUUCGACUCGGACGAUAAUGACGGUACGAGUGGAAGAAGCACCGGCUAACUCUGUGCCAGCAGCCGCGGUAAUACAGAGGGUGCGAGCGUUGUUCGGAAUUAUUGGGCGUAAAGGGCGCGUAGGCGGUGCGGUAAGUCACCUGU